UACAGGGGGGGCAAGCGUUGUUCGGAAUUACUGGGCGUAAAGGGCUCGUAGGCGGCCAACUAAGUCACACGUGAAAUCCCCAGGCUUAACCUGGGAACUGCGUGUGAUACUGGAUGGCUUGAAUUCGGGAGAGGGAUGCAGAAUUCCAGGUGUAGCGGUGAAAUGCGUAGAUAUCUGGAGGAACACCGGUGGCGAAGGCGGCAUUCUGGACCGAUAUUGACGCUGAGGAGCGAAAGCCAGGGGAGCAAACGGG
This 253-nucleotide ribosomal RNA is filed under the name uncultured bacterium. Its description in RNAcentral is "partial 16S ribosomal RNA". It matches the Rfam family "Bacterial small subunit ribosomal RNA", at positions 524 to 776 of the family's 1533-position model. The record is from RNAcentral.